UCUUGAUCUUUGAUUCAUGAUCAUUCUGGCAUAGAUCGAGAUGCGAUCUUGAUCGGAUCACAUGCCGGAUCAAAUUUUUGAAUUCUGCUGCACCUUGAUUUAGUUGAUUGGGCAUGUGAUCUUUCCUUCAGCUGGUAUCAGAGCCAGGUUGUAGGUUUCAUGUAUUUAAGAUCAAGAUCAGAUCUAAAUCAGAUUUGAUCUAAAGUAGUGUUUAGAUUUGAAAUUAAAUU
This 230-nucleotide long non-coding RNA is filed under the name Elaeis guineensis (African oil palm). Its description in RNAcentral is "long non-coding RNA (EGUI_LNC035871)". Lineage: Eukaryota; Viridiplantae; Streptophyta; Magnoliopsida; Arecales; Arecaceae. The record is from RNAcentral.